AAUAGAUGACGCCGUUGACUUUUUAUCACAUGUUUAACCAUUCGUCUUAUUAAAAAAAAUUAUGUAAUUAUAAUUAUUUUAUUAUGAGUUCUUUUAUCAUUUAUAGUACUUUAAGUGUGAUUUAUAUCUUAUACAUUUGUAUAAAAUUUUUGAAUAAGACGAAUGGUCAAACAUGUGAGAAAAAGUCAACAGCGUCAUCUAUU
This 203-nucleotide microRNA precursor is filed under the name Oryza sativa Indica Group (long-grained rice). Its description in RNAcentral is "MIR812 microRNA precursor family". It matches the Rfam family "MIR812 microRNA precursor family". The record is from Rfam by way of RNAcentral. Lineage: Eukaryota; Viridiplantae; Streptophyta; Magnoliopsida; Poales; Poaceae.